CUUUCAUUAACGUUUGUCGAAAGCAGUCAGCCAUACCCUGGUACAAGUUUGGAAAUGUUUGCAUCUUCACUUUAAUGGUGUCUAGGGGCUGACCAACGUACACCAGUCCCACACCACCUGAAAUUACAGGGUGAUCACCCUGAUGAUGGAGGCUGCAAGGACCUCUGAAAUGGUAAUCUACUAGACUACUUGGCGCAACAACCCAAAAGACAGCCUUGUUUGUGUGUGUGUGUGUAUAUAUAUAUCACUAUUGAAUUGGUAUGCUGUUACUUAAUUUGACUGUAUUCAAUUAGGUCUAACAGUCUUCUUUAUAUUAUUGUAGUAAUGACUAAACAUGUAUAUGUACAUACUCCACAUGAAGAAUAACCUAACAAGUUGAAACAUAUAGUGGAAGAUUAGAAUAAAUAUAUUUUAGAAUUG
Molecule: non-coding RNA, 420 nt
Organism: Zootermopsis nevadensis
Lineage: Eukaryota; Metazoa; Arthropoda; Insecta; Blattodea; Termopsidae
Source: RefSeq, a predicted model, not a curated record